Molecule: ribosomal RNA, 568 nt
Filed under: uncultured bacterium
Lineage: Bacteria
Description: bacterial SSU rRNA
Rfam family: Bacterial small subunit ribosomal RNA
Source: RNAcentral
CCUACGGGAGGCAGCAGUGGGGAAUAUUGCACAAUGGGCGCAAGCCUGAUGCAGCGACGCCGCGUGAGGGAUGACGGCCUUCGGGUUGUAAACCUCUUUCACCAGGGACGAAGCGCGAGUGACGGUACCUGGAGAAGAAGCACCGGCCAACUACGUGCCAGCAGCCGCGGUAAUACGUAGGGUGCGAGCGUUGUCCGGAAUUACUGGGCGUAAAGAGCUCGUAGGCGGUUUGUCGCGUCGUCUGUGAAAUUCUGCAACUCAAUUGUAGGCGUGCAGGCGAUACGGGCAGACUUGAGUACUACAGGGGAGACUGGAAUUCCUGGUGUAGCGGUGAAAUGCGCAGAUAUCAGGAGGAACACCGGUGGCGAAGGCGGGUCUCUGGGUAGUAACUGACGCUGAGGAGCGAAAGCGUGGGUAGCGAACAGGAUUAGAUACCCUGGUAGUCCACGCCGUAAACGGUGGGUACUAGGUGUGGGUUCCUUUUCACGGGAUCCGUGCCGUAGCUAACGCAUUAAGUACCCCGCCUGGGGAGUACGGCCGCAAGGCUAAAACUCAAAUGAAUUGACGG